UGCAGAUCCAGAAUGUCUUCGUGUUCCC
This 28-nucleotide non-coding RNA is filed under the name Mus musculus (house mouse). The record is from RNAcentral. Lineage: Eukaryota; Metazoa; Chordata; Mammalia; Rodentia; Muridae.